This 3483-nucleotide long non-coding RNA is filed under the name Lytechinus variegatus (green sea urchin). RNAcentral's name for it is "uncharacterized LOC121407909". Lineage: Eukaryota; Metazoa; Echinodermata; Echinoidea; Temnopleuroida; Toxopneustidae. The record is from RNAcentral.
AUUUACUACUUUGCUUCUUAUUCAUGUUCUUCGGCUCGCUUGCAUUCUUCAGUGAUUAAAGAGAGAGAGAGCGAGAGUGUGAACAGGUGUGGAAGCAAGGAGUGAAUUCCUUGGUGGAAGUGAGCUGUGAGUGGGAGUGGCUGAAGUGACAAGAGUCGCAAAAGAGGAUUAAUUGACCGAGAGAGCAGUUGGGGGAGUGGUAGAGAGAGUUACGUAAGUUGGAAGAAUAAUGGAAAGCCGAAGAACUUGAAUUUGGAAUCGGAGUACACAAUAAUUAAGUUCCGUUUUAUAUACUUACAUUAUAGGCGGAUUAAUUUCGCGCAUUACACCAAAAGUGAUAGGGUCGACUUGGAGAAAGGCUUUUUUCGCCAUGCGGUGUUUGACCCAGAAAGGGGAUAAAAAGGGAGUGUUUAGUUGACAAGGGGCAGUUUUUCGUUUCCGAUUUGUUUUGCCGCCGUAGGCCAUGUCGGUUUGAUUUUUGUCUGUCGUCGGUCGUCCAGCCCAGAGAUGCGACAUUUAUUAUUAUCCAGCAUGUAAUUUGACUUUGAUUUAGAAUAAAACCUGAUACACAACUUAACUUCAUCGAACUUGUCAUUCUUUGACUCCCGUCCUUUUUUUGUACGUGGGCAGCGCAAGACGGUGGGCGGCCACCGGCCGUCUUGCAAAGCUGUGCCGCUACAAAAUUGGUAGUACGGAUGGGGUCGACCGUCAUCUUCAGCAUGUUCGGGGAACGUUUUAGUCCUUCAGUCUGGUUUUACGCAUAAACACAAUGUUUAUCGGACAUUGAGAUAAAUUCAACAAGGAGAGCUUCACUUCAUGUCACCGGUUCCGGCUUAUUUUUUGUUCGAGGAUGUGAAUUGAUAUUAUUUUAACUUUAACGUUGGAGAGAGAAAUUCAGCUGCAGGGGUUGGAUUGAGCCCCCACAUCGCCCGGGUUUUCGACGUUGGGACCUUACAUGUGCCGUUGAGCUCAGGAGAAAGAACCCUUCGUCCUGGGACUCACGCGUGGCUGCAUUGUAGCGAGGAGUCGAGGGACCUGUGAAAACCACUGCAAAUAGACCUGACGGGGUAGCAUAGCUGGUUUCCACUAAAACCCUCCGGAUUAGUUGGUACCGACGAAGUCUGGUGAUUUCACAUUACACUGCGGUGAGAGGAGUCGUUUAACUGCGCGAGAAUCGUCUUGGAAGGGGCUGUAAAGGAACUCAGCAGGGCGAUUGCUUUUCCUUUGGUCGUCUCAUGAGGAUGGAUUGAGGUUAGGAACUGGAGGCCGCAGGCGCUAGUCCGGCUCGGGGAGUUGGACGCUAUCGAGGAGCUCCGAGACAUCGUUCUUCCAACCAACGCUUCGUCACGGCCCUUCAUCUUCGUCAUCGACGUGGUGUGGUAGACCCUGUCUUCGAUAUCUUCGACGGUGGAAGCUGGCACUGUCGUUUGGAAGCCGAUAGCCUUGGCGAGUGAAGCAGCAGGAGUCGCUGGAAAACUACAUAUCAGACGGCAGGAUGGUGUCAAACGGAACUGGAGGAGGCAUGGGAUAUCCACCUCUGAUGGUAGUUUUGAUAUCAUCCCAAAGUCUUGGUAAAUGGUAGAAAACAAGUAAUGUUUGGGUUAUUUUUUUUGUCCAUGUAAAAGGACUUCUAAAAUCUGAAUGAAUGAAAGAAAGGAUUUUAUAAAAACAAUUGUUUAUCUUUUUAAUGUGGAGGUUUACCCUAGAGGUGCACUAUGUCAUCUGUUUGGAAGCAAAGGAUGAAUUGUACAUAAAAAAAAACACUGUAAAGUAAUGAUUCUGAAAGUAUAACACAAAAUAAUAGUAACUUUCAGAAUAAGCGUCAUUAUUUGUAACCAUAGCAGAGCGAGGUCUAACAUGUGCAUGCAUGCUGUCCAAUAUCAAAAUAUUUACUGUUUACUGUCUAUGAUACAUGUUCAUGGUUGAUAUAUAAUGCCUGAAGUUGAUUGUUCAUGGUUUACAAUUACAACCCAUCCAUUGAUUAAUGUUCAAUUGAUUAAUAAACACUUUUACUAGGGCAUUAUACAAGUAUGCUGAUGCAAAAGAUUUUUUUAGUAUCAUUUUGGACAUGAAACAUGCACUUGUUAACUAAGGUUAUUUAUAGUUUUUUUUUAUAUAUAUAAGAUGACCAGAUUUACUGCUGUUGGUUUUCAUUUUGUAAGGUGGAUACAGAUACGGAUAUGGAUAAUUUUACUUUUCACAUGUAUCAUUGCUAUUAUUACUACUGUACAUGUAAGUUUAUGUACCUGUAGUAUUUUUGACAUAACUAGUUGUGCAUAAGAGGUAUAAUGAAGGUUUAAUAGAUGUUUAGAGGUUGAAUUUGUAACUAAACCUUUCAAUUCAUUUUUUUGGGGGUCUGGAAAGUUCAUCUUUGAAGGGGUGAUGUCAUCGAUGAAGCAGCAGGAAGCUUGGGUCAUCCACUUCCCAAUGCCUAUACGUUGACAUUCCCCUGAUGGAAGCUCUCCAAAUCCUAUUUUUAAUUGAAGAAGGUACAGGUACAAUGUAUAUACAUGCAAUCUAUUUACCAAAAAAGGGGAAGAUUUUGAAAUAACAAUAUUUGGCAUGAAUAUAGAACGAUGUUGAAAUGUUUAUAUUGUUUAUGACAAAUUGUAAGUGUCAUGGAUGGACGACCGUCAGUAUCAAAUCUUUUUUUCCUUAUUUUUUGCGAUCUUAUGGAACAGAUCGAUUCAGUAGGGGAGAGUUAUAGCGGGAUGGAAAAUAGAGAUUUGUUUGUUUGGGUAAAGAAGUUCGUUCGCCUUCUUCCAUUGUUUACAUUCCUUAAAGGUGUUGAUUUCGUUUGCUAGUUUUUCUGGGCCAGGCUAGCGAUUGGAAUGUGGAAGUGAAAGAGGGCAAACUGACUGGGUUGCUAGGCGUUCAGGACUAAUAGAAAGUCCAUUGGAACUUCAGUUAUUUACUACUUUGCUUCAUAUUCAUGUUCUUCGGCUCGCUUGCAUUCUUCAGUGAUUAAAGAGAGAGAGAGAGCGAGAGUGUGAACAGGUGUGGAAGCAAGGAGUGAAUUCCUUGGUGGAAGUGAGCUGUGAGUGGGAGUGGCUGAAGUGACAAGAGUCGCAAAAGAGGAUUAAUUGACCGAGAGAGCAGUUGGGGGAGUGGUAGAGAGAGUUACGUAAGUUGGAAGAAUAAUGGAAAGCCGAAGAACUUGAAUUUGGAAUCGGAGUACACAAUAAUUAAGUUCCGUUUUAUAUACUUACAUUAUAGGCGGAUUAAUUUCGCGCAUUACACCAAAAGUGAUAGGGUCGACUUGGGGAAAGGCUUUUUUCGCCACGCGGUGUUUGACCCAGAAAGGGGAUAAAAAGGGAGUGUUUAGUUGACAAGGGGCAGUUUUUCGUUCCCGAUUUGUUUUGCCGCCGUAGGCCAUGUCGGUUUGAUUUUUGUCUGUCGUCGGUCGUCCAGCCCAGAGAUGCGACAUUUAUUAUUAUCCAGCAUGUAAUUUGACUUUGAUUUAGAAUAAAACCUGAUACACAA